Molecule: ribosomal RNA, 497 nt
Filed under: uncultured bacterium
Lineage: Bacteria
Description: partial 16S ribosomal RNA
Rfam family: Bacterial small subunit ribosomal RNA
Source: RNAcentral
GAUGAACGCUGGCGGCGUGCCUAAUACAUGCAAGUCGAGCGAACAGAUGAGGAGCUUGCUCCUCUGACGUUAGCGGCGGACGGGUGAGUAACACGUGGAUAACCUACCUAUAAGACUGGGAUAACUUCGGGAAACCGGAGCUAAUACCGGAUAAUAUAUUGAACCGCAUGGAUCAAUAGUGAAAGACGGUUUUGCUGUCACUUAUAGAUGGAUCCGCGCCGCAUUAGCUAGUUGGUAAGGUAACGGCUUACCAAGGCAACGAUGCGUAGCCGACCUGAGAGGGUGAUCGGCCACACUGGAACUGAGACACGGCCCAGACUCCUACGGGAGGCAGCAGUAGGGAAUCUUCCGCAAUGGGCGAAAGCCUGACGGAGCAACGCCGCGUGAGUGAUGAAGGUCUUCGGAUCGUAAAGCUCUGUUAUUAGGGAAGAACAAAUGUGUAAUUAACUAUGCACGUCUUGACGGUACCUAAUCAGAAAGCCACGGCUAACUACGUG